Molecule: ribosomal RNA, 279 nt
Filed under: uncultured bacterium
Lineage: Bacteria
Description: partial 16S ribosomal RNA
Rfam family: Bacterial small subunit ribosomal RNA
Source: RNAcentral
UGCCAGCAGCCGCGGUAAUACGUAGGGGGCAAGCGUUGUCCGGAAUCAUUGGGCGUAAAGCGCGUGUAGGCGGCCCGAUAAGUCCGCUGUGAAAGUCCAGGGCUCAACCCUGGAAUGCCGGUGGAUACUGUCGGGCUCGAGUCCGGAAGAGGCGAGUGGAAUUCCUGGUGUAGCGGUGAAAUGCGCAGAUAUCAGGAGGAACACCAAUGGCGAAGGCAGCUCGCUGGGACGGUACUGACGCUGAGACGCGAAAGCGUGGGGAGCAAACAGGAUUAGAUA